CCUACGGGAGGCAGCAGUGAGGAAUAUUGGUCAAUGGACGAGAGUCUGAACCAGCCAAGUAGCGUGAAGGAUGACUGCCCUAUGGGUUGUAAACUUCUUUUAUAUGGGAAUAAAAUGUUCCACGUGUGGGAUUUUGUAUGUACCAUAUGAAUAAGGAUCGGCUAACUCCGUGCCAGCAGCCGCGGUAAUACGGAGGAUCCGAGCGUUAUCCGGAUUUAUUGGGUUUAAAGGGAGCGUAGGUGGAUUGUUAAGUCAGUUGUGAAAGUUUGCGGCUCAACCGUAAAAUUGCAGUUGAAACUGGCAGUCUUGAGUACAGGAGAGGUGGGCGGAAUUCGGGGUGUAGCGGUGAAAUGCUUAGAUAUCACGAAGAACUCCGAUUGCGAAGGCAGUUCACUGGACUGCAACUGACACUGAGGCUCGAAAGUGUGGGUAUCAAACAGGAUUAGAUACCCGAGUAGUC
Molecule: ribosomal RNA, 460 nt
Filed under: uncultured bacterium
Lineage: Bacteria
Description: partial 16S ribosomal RNA
Rfam family: Bacterial small subunit ribosomal RNA
Source: RNAcentral